UGGGAUCUACAAUGUCGGCACUGGAAAAGGUUAAGAAAUCUGUCAUUUCCCUUGAAAUUAUUAUCAUCCUUUCCUUACCCUUGCCUCGCUGGCCCUGCAUUUCCUGAAGUUAUUUUGGAUCAUUUUCAUCACAGGUAGUUCAGUGAAGGAAUUUGUUGAGGCAUGCAAGAAGGCGACAGGGGUGGACAUAAAGGUUGAUUACCUCGACAGAAGGCCAGGGGACUAUGCUAAAGUUUAUAGUGAUCCUUCCAAGGUAAGGCAGGAGCUGAAUUGGACAGCCCACUACACACUUCAAGAGAGCCUGCAGAUUGCAUGGAGAUGGCAAAAAUCGCAUUUGAAUGGCUAUGGUCCUUAGGUUGAAAAGAUACCAGAGAUAGCAUUGCGGAAGCAGGAUGUUGCUCCUUGAGUUGAACUUGGAUUUCCUUUUAAUUGGAACACUACAUAAAUUUCCA
This 452-nucleotide long non-coding RNA is filed under the name Malus domestica (apple). RNAcentral describes it as "long non-coding RNA (MDOM_LNC008029)". The record is from RNAcentral. Lineage: Eukaryota; Viridiplantae; Streptophyta; Magnoliopsida; Rosales; Rosaceae.